This 308-nucleotide long non-coding RNA is filed under the name Elaeis guineensis (African oil palm). RNAcentral's name for it is "long non-coding RNA (EGUI_LNC038142)". The record is from RNAcentral. Lineage: Eukaryota; Viridiplantae; Streptophyta; Magnoliopsida; Arecales; Arecaceae.
GGUGGCUGACUUAGAGCAGCCGAAUAGGGAAGCUUGGAAAGAGUUUAAACAAUAUGAAUAUAUUAUCAAUCAACAUAAAAUAGAUAAUUAUAGCUUAUUGGCUAAGAUGGUGGUUAGGCCAUCUAAAUAUUUGGAUUCAAAACCUCAUGUUCGUAUAUAUUUAAAAUCAAGUUGGCAAUGGAUUGGAUAUAGGCCAGAUUGGCCAAUAACCAUAUUCAUCUUGUCAUUAAAAAGUUGAUAUACAUAUCUAUCCAUUAUCUAUCUUGGAUCGAAUCAGUCAGAUAGGAGGAUUUGAGUCAAAUCAGAUU